AACGCACAUUGCGCCCCUUGGUAUUCCGGGGGGCAUGCCUGUUCGAGCGUCAUUAUAACCCUCAAGCCUUGCUUGGUGUUGGAGCAUGCUACCUAGCAGCUCUUAAAAUCAGUGGCAGUGCCCUUCGGCUCUAAGCGUAGUAAUUCUUCUCGCUAUAGGGUCUGGAGGGUCCGCGCCAGAACCCCCAACUUUCUAUGGUUGACCUCGGAUCAGGUAGGGAUACCCGCUGAACUUAA
This 236-nucleotide unclassified non-coding RNA is filed under the name uncultured Ascomycota. Its description in RNAcentral is "sequence contains ITS2". The record is from RNAcentral. RNAcentral also lists the same sequence under 1 other name. Lineage: Eukaryota; Fungi; Ascomycota.